This 505-nucleotide ribosomal RNA is filed under the name uncultured bacterium. RNAcentral's name for it is "partial 16S ribosomal RNA". It matches the Rfam family "Bacterial small subunit ribosomal RNA", at positions 28 to 507 of the family's 1533-position model. The record is from RNAcentral.
GACGAACGCUGGCGGCGUGCCUAAUACAUGCAAGUAGAACGCACAGUUUAUACCGUAGCUUGCUACACCAUAGACUGUGAGUUGCGAACGGGUGAGUAACGCGUAGGUAACCUGCCUGGUAGCGGGGGAUAACUAUUGGAAACGAUAGCUAAUACCGCAUAAUAUUAAUUAUUGCAUGAUAAUUAAUUGAAAGGUGCAAUUGCACCACUACCAGAUGGACCUGCGUUGCAUUAGCUAGUAGGUGAGGUAACGGCUCACCUAGGCGACGAUACAUAGCCGACCUGAGAGGGUGAUCGGCCACACUGGGACUGAGACACGGCCCAGACUCCUACGGGAGGCAGCAGUAGGGAAUCUUCGGCAAUGGACGAAAGGCUGACCGAGCAACGCCGCGUGAGUGAAGAAGGUUGUCGGAUCGUAAAGCUCUGUUGUAAGAGAAGAACGGGUGUGAGAGUGGAAAGUUCACACUGUGACGGUAUCUUACCAGAAAGGGACGGCUAACUACGUG